Long non-coding RNA from Pseudophryne corroboree (corroboree frog), 1940 nucleotides. RefSeq lists it as uncharacterized. The transcript has 2 exons. NCBI's taxonomy places the organism in Eukaryota, Metazoa, Chordata, Amphibia, Anura, Myobatrachidae. The record is from RefSeq and is a predicted model, not a curated record.
CUGUCGGGUUAAAGUGAUUAGUGUGUCCGGACUCCGGAAUAUGUUGUACUGUAUACUUAUUAGUGAGAUGAUCUCUGAUGAACGGUACGGCGGCGCAUGCAUAUAAGAGAAAACAAUGUCUGCUACUCGAGCUGCUGUGGACGGACCUACUACUACACCACUUCCUGAACCUACACAACCCUUUAAAGUCAGAGACAGAGUCGUGGUGAAGGUGCUCCCCAGGAACAAGAGCCCAGGAGACUUCACCUAUGGUCCAGAGACAGAGGUCGUAGCAGUUACCCGAACAGCAGUCCUGACAGAGGAAAGUCCUACCUGGAUCCAUGCAUCCCGAGUAAAAAAGGUUCCUAGACCAGACCUAGAGAGGGAAGCAAGUGAUUCCAGUGAGGUACGAACCGGGGCAGACAGCCCUGACCUCCCACCUAGCGAAGAAAGAAGAACAGAAGAAGAUGAGGAACCUGUCCCCUAUCUCUAUCCUGGGGACUAUCUCGAUAGCCCUACUGGCCCUCAUUCACCUCACAAUAUGUGAAGUCGACAUCACACAAACAGAUGGGGUCCCCACCUUGUGGUACAAUUCCUCCAAUACACACGUAGCCACAUACAUCCUUGAUUAUUUUAUGUUCCCCAAAAUUGCUGAUGACAAAUAUUAUAUACAACAAAGGAGGAAAUCAGGAAUGUCUGAGACAGUAUAUAUUUGUGUUACUGACGAAUGGUACUAUGACAUUAGAUAUUAUGGAUCUAAUUGUAAUUCCUGGGAAGCUGUGGGGUGGAAUACAGGAGCAGAUUGGAAAUAUGGCCCAUCAUUUGCAAAAAAUAGAUAUAGCAAAUAUCCCCAAAACAAACCUUUAAAGCCCCAUAUUGCCACUUCUAAAGAUAUGGUGGCUAUUACUAACCCUACCUUUGAAGACACCCUAGCUAUUGAAACUGGUUUCUCUGACAUUAAUUUUUGGUUGGAAUGGAUGAAGUAUAGUGCUAACAAACACAAUAAAAGCAACUGUUAUGUCUGUGGCAAAUCUAGGCCCCACCUAGGUACAGUGCCCCUUAAUAUACCCCUAGAACAGGAAAAUUGUUUUUUCAGCCUUUUUAAUGACACCAAAACAAAUGACAGUCAGUGCGAAAUGUGGAAAAGGGAAUAUCCCAUAUUGUCAAAAAAUCCCAACCCAGGAAGCACCAUAACCAUAUAUCCUGGAAACUAUACCUGUUAUACAUCUAACACCACCACAGGGAGAAAUUUAAAAACCUUCCCACCAGGGUAUUGUGCAAAUAAGCAUAUUCAUACUUGUAACUUUAAUUCUUGUAGGCAUUAUAGUUUAUUGUGUAAUUCCCUGUGGAAAGAAACUUACCUCCAAAGGCAUUGAUAAGGCCCUGAUGUACUAUGAUAUAACCACCAGUCCUGUCACCUCCUUUGAUAGUAAGGGACCCGACGAUUAUGUCCAAUAUCUCAAGAACUGGAGGAACAAGAAAGGAGCCUCACUCAAGAAUCAUGUCAUAUAAUAAUCAUGAUUCUAAGAGGGGAUUGAAGGGUUAACUCUUCUGUGCUUUGUAAAUAUUACUUUUUAUAUGAUCAAUUUCCUUAUAAUAGUUACAGUGUAAAAGUGAAUAUUUCUACCUCCCUAAUGAAAGGUUAAAACAUGCUAUAUGAACUGUUAUGGGUUUGCAUAGAUACGUAUUACCCUGUGCUGAAUACCUUUAUCUCCUCAUACAAUACCAGGCUUGUAUGUGUCUGUUUCUCAAGGUCAGUUCUAUACCAGAUGAAACCUGUUACAGACUUUGUUAAAUGUUUUGAGAAACUUGUAGAAAACCCAUAUAUGAACAUCCGCCUUUUUCAAUUCUGCCUGGUAACUACCAACAAGCCAAUGGGAGUGUAACGACAUGUCAGUUACACCCAUAUACAUUGUCUUAUAUACUUUUGUUAACCUCAUAAUAAACAGUGUGAAUUUUUA